RNAcentral lists this ribosomal RNA (231 nucleotides) under uncultured bacterium. Its description in RNAcentral is "partial 16S ribosomal RNA". It matches the Rfam family "Bacterial small subunit ribosomal RNA", at positions 1152 to 1381 of the family's 1533-position model. The record is from RNAcentral.
CCGGGGUCAACUCGGAGGAAGGUGGGGAUGACGUCAAAUCAUCAUGCCCCUUAUGUCUUGGGCUUCACGCAUGCUACAAUGGCCGGUACAAAGGGCUGCGAUACCGCGAGGUGGAGCGAAUCCCAAAAAGCCGGUCUCAGUUCGGAUUGGGGUCUGCAACUCGACCCCAUGAAGUCGGAGUCGCUAGUAAUCGCAGAUCAGCAACGCUGCGGUGAAUACGUUCCCGGGCCU